Long non-coding RNA from Balaenoptera acutorostrata (minke whale), 599 nucleotides. RefSeq lists it as uncharacterized. The transcript is spliced from 3 exons. The record is from RefSeq and is a predicted model, not a curated record. Lineage: Eukaryota; Metazoa; Chordata; Mammalia; Artiodactyla; Balaenopteridae.
GGGAGGAGGAAUAGAAUGGUUUGCAACCGUUGAAAACAAAAAUGUUUUUCCCCUCUGAUUCUUUAUCCUUCCUCUCACAGAGGACCAGGAGAAGAAACCAGUGGCAAGGUACACCUGCCAGUGGUGCCCGGAAGGGUUGCUCAGCCUCCCUCGUGUCAGCCAGGACGUGAAAGGGAGACCACCUGGCCUGCGUGCUCAGAAGCCUCAGAGUAUUUAGAAAUGGGCAGACGCGGGGCAGCCUCGGGACCAAAUGCUGCUGGAGGAAAACCAGACAAUCCAGUGUGGGUACCGCCAAGCUCCAGCACCGCCUCCUCUGAAAAGCCCCUUGUCCCCAGUGUGUUUUUCCGGAAGACUCCGUGGACAUGCGUCUCUAGGGAUGCUGCAGUUGGCUAUCACUACAGGCGUCCUGCCUUUCUCCUACCAGGAAAGUCGUGAGUAAACAGAAGUUUUGUAAAUCGAGUCAAUGUUCCUAGCAACCUCCAUGACCAUUUCAGAGAUGCUUCAUCUUCAUUUCUGGCCGGUUUUUCGCUGGCAGCACUUCUUACCUAAUCUAUCCCACAGCGUUUCUGUAAAGGAAGGUAAUGAGCGGUAAACAAACU